RNAcentral lists this ribosomal RNA (409 nucleotides) under uncultured Nitrososphaerota archaeon. Its description in RNAcentral is "bacterial SSU rRNA". It matches the Rfam family "Archaeal small subunit ribosomal RNA", at positions 452 to 861 of the family's 1478-position model. The record is from RNAcentral. Lineage: Archaea; Thermoproteati; Nitrososphaerota.
CUGGUGUCAGCCGCCGCGGUAAUACCAGCACCCCGAGUGGUCGGGACGUUUAUUGGGCCUAAAGCAUCCGUAGCCGGUUCUACAAGUCUUCCGUUAAAUCCAACUGCUUAACAGGUGGGCUGCGGAAGAUACUAUAGAGCUAGGAGGCGGGAGAGGCAAGCGGUACUCGAUGGGUAGGGGUAAAAUCCGUUGAUCCAUUGAAGACCACCAGUGGCGAAGGCGGCUUGCCAGAACGCGCUCGACGGUGAGGGAUGAAAGCUGGGGGAGCAAACCGGAUUAGAUACCCGGGUAGUCCCAGCUGUAAACGAUGCAGACUCGGUGAUGAGUUGGCUAUAUGCCAUCUCAGUGCCGCAGGGAAGCCGUUAAGUUUGCCGCCUGGGGAGUACGGUCGCAAGACUGAAACUUAAAG